UGGGGAAUAUUGGACAAUGGGGGCAACCCUGAUCCAGCAAUGCCGCGUGUGCGAAGAAGGUCUUCGGAUUGUAAAGCACUUUCGACGGGGACGAUGAUGACGGUACCCGUAGAAGAAGCCCCGGCUAACUUCGUGCCAGCAGCCGCGGUAAUACGAAGGGGGCUAGCGUUGCUCGGAAUGACUGGGCGUAAAGGGCGUGUAGGCGGUUUACACAGUCAGAUGUGAAAUCCCCGGGCUUAACCUGGGAGCUGCAUUUGAUACGUGUAGACUAGAGUGUGAGAGAGGGUUGUGGAAUUCCCAGUGUAGAGGUGAAAUUCGUAGAUAUUGGGAAGAACACCGGUGGCGAAGGCGGCAACCUGGCUCAUGACUGACGCUGAGGCGCGAAAGCGUGGGGAGCAAACAGGAUUAGAUACCCUGGUAGUCCACGCUGUAAACGAUGUGUGCUAGAUGUUGGGUAACUUUGUUAUUCAGUGUCGCAGUUAACGCGUUAAGCACACCGCCUGGGGAGUACGGGC
Molecule: ribosomal RNA, 515 nt
Filed under: uncultured bacterium
Lineage: Bacteria
Description: partial 16S ribosomal RNA
Rfam family: Bacterial small subunit ribosomal RNA
Source: RNAcentral